Molecule: small RNA, 125 nt
Filed under: Marmota monax (woodchuck)
Lineage: Eukaryota; Metazoa; Chordata; Mammalia; Rodentia; Sciuridae
Source: RNAcentral
GCUGGGUGCAGUGGCGCACACCUGUAAUCCCAGUAGCUUGGGAGGCUGAGAUAGGAGAAUCCUGAGUUCAAAGCCAGCCUCAGCAAUGGCGAGACACCAAGCAACUCAGUGAGACCCUGUCUCUA